Molecule: ribosomal RNA, 253 nt
Filed under: uncultured bacterium
Lineage: Bacteria
Description: partial 16S ribosomal RNA
Rfam family: Bacterial small subunit ribosomal RNA
Source: RNAcentral
UACGUAGGGACCAAGCGUUGUUCGGAUUUACUAGGCGUAAAGGGCGCGUAGGCGGCAAUUCAAGUCAUCUGUGAAAUCUCCGGGCUUAACUCGGAACGGUCAGAUGAUACUGCUUUGCUAGAGUGCGGAAGGGGCAAUCGGAAUUCUUGGUGUAGCGGUGAAAUGCGUAGAUAUCAAGAGGAACACCUGAGGUGAAGACGGGUUGCUGGGCCGACACUGACGCUGAGGCGCGAAAGCCAGGGGAGCAAACGGG